UCAAAUAGUAGUCCAUUCCAACUUCAUUUUUCUGUAUUUACCUUAUUAACAUCUAAUAUAAUAAUUUACUGUUUUAUCAUGUAUUUUUCUGCUCUCCCAUUCUAGAAUGCAGGAUCUAUGAUGUUUUUGUCUCUAGUGUCUGAAGCCCCAACUCCUGGAAGAGUAAAUAGACAUAUAGUAAGCAUUCAAUAAGUAAUUGCUGAAUGAAUGAAUAAGUUAAUAGGUGGAUCUUAUCUCUUGACUGCUUGGAAUUGGUUGCUCCUCACCUUGCUGUCAUCUUGAUUCCUGGGCUUUACCUGCCCCUAACCAGACAGCAUCCUGCGUUACUCCUGACCUGAAUCACUGUCCUUUACUGCUGUAGACCUUAUGCUUGAUGGGUCAGGCCCUGAUACCUCCUUACUCUUCACCCACUUCCAGCACUGCCUGUUUUGCUCUGCCUCAUUGCCAGACACAACCUGGUAUAACACAUGAUUAUUCCUUUUCAGCUGCCUCCCAGCAUCUUCAUAUUUUUAGAAACCUGCUCAGAGUGAAUAAUUAUACAACUCAUUUGCACUGCAAUAUCUGGCACCAUGUGGAUCACUGAAAACUAAUAAUUUAAGUGAAUGGUUCUACUUCUAUAUUACGCAAGUACCCAUCAUCACUGGUGCAAGUACAUUGAAGGGCAAUUAGUGGGCGAGUAAAUAAUCAGAGUCAUGAUAAUUAAUAUUUAUUGAGCUUUUACUGUGUGUUGGGCACUUGGUCUGCUUUAUCUCUUUUCACAUUUUUUAUAUCCACUUUUGUCAACUUCAAUCAAGAGUUUGAAUUUCUGAAGUAGCCUUUCAAUCAUAAUCCACAUUUUUACCCUUUUCCCUUCCAAUACUGUUGUUCACAUUAUAAUCUCCCUGACUUUUAUAAGUAUUUUAAAAUGCUCCUGAGCCCUCUCACCAUAAUUAAUAAAAUCCAGACUCUUUAUCAGCAACCAAUGAUAAUACCUAACAUCAGCAGGUGCUUACUAUUUCAAGUCUUGCUUGAAGGCUUUAUGUAUAAUUAUCCUAUUUAAUGCCCUCAGAAAUCCAAUGAGGUAGAAAAAGAGGCAUGAAGAGGUUAAAUGGUUUUGUUCAGUGUCAUGCAUUUAAUAAGUGGUGGAGCUGGGAUCUGAACCCAGUCACAUCAUUCUGUUGUCCUGUUCCCCAAAUGAGUCAACUGGCUGAAUGUGCCCCCUCAACUUCAUCUCUCCCACGCCCUCUACCUCCCAAGCUGUACCCCAGACAUACAGGCUCACUUUCUCCUCCUGGAUCACGGGAAACUGAAUGUGCUGCCUCAGCCAGGCUUUCCUGGACUACCUAAUCUAAAGUGAAAUCCUCUCUCUUAGCAUCCAGUUCUGCCCCCCAACAGGAAUAGUUACAACUUAAGGAUUUUCUUACUCAUCCUCUUUGCCCACCACAUCUCUGUUUAAUGCAAAACAGCCUAGAGCUAGAGUGUUUUUGUUUCUUAAUAAACAUCCAUUGAAUCCAGUCAAGGACUGAAUGUCAUUGAAUCUUCACUUCUGAUUCUGAGGAAGUGCUACUCUUCAUUGACAGAGAUAGUAAAGAACCAGUCCAAGGUCAAAGAACCUGUAAGUGGUGAAGCUUGGAUUGGAAUCCCAACCCUUCUGGUGGCAGAGUACCAACCAGCAAUCUCUACUUCUUCCUUAGGUGCUCCAGGAUCUGAGACCCCUAAACAGGGAGAUUACUGAAGCAGCUGGCAGAUGGGCUUAAUAAUCUCCUCUAUAAUUAUCUGCAAAUUUGUAAACCUGGAAGUGAAAAAUAAAUCCUCCCUUCUCAGGUUUCUUUUUAGAGUGAUGACUGAAUGACCGAAUGGAGCCUCGUCGUGGGGGCUUGCACUGAGCAAAUCACAGCACAAGGAGGCAGCUAAUUGCCGAACUUGAUUGCAACUGCUAAUCACAGUCAUAAGGAAAAAAAAGUGUUGGGAAUUAAUUAGGCAAGGACCUUCCGAACAGCAGCAGGAAGCCUCCGAGUGACCUUUAUUUACAGUCAGUUAAACAGAAGUGUGACUAAAAAUGCCAGGGAGCAAAUCAGAUUAUUAAUAUUGAUUGCUUAAAGAAAAUGAAUAAUUUAGAAGCCUAGUCAGAAUAAAUAUCCAGUGACAGAGAUGAAAGAGCACAGCAUACCACAUUUCUAACAUUCAUCUGUCAUGCGGCAGUGUCCCCUGCUCGGAAAUUGAGAAUUUUCACCCUCACAAAGCACAAUUAGUUUCAUGACCCAGCAUGAUUGCCACUAAGAACUGUUCUCAUUCAGCCAAGCAUGGGGAAAAUCCAGGGUGUCGAACUAAGGCUUUUGUCAACACUUUGCAUGGUAAACUAAUUACAAGUUCAUGGAAGGUGUACUUUCCGAUUUUUAUCAAUAAAACAUCAACCAGAAGAAGGUGGAUUGCAUUUUCUGUGCUUACUGAGUAAAGCUCACAGGUUUCACUUUUUGAUGACUGUAUACCUUUUGUGGUGCAUAUACGACAGAAGUUUUCGAUGGGAAAGGCAAAGGUUUCAGAUUGCUUAUAAGUAAAGAUUUUCAGAGGUUAUCUCCAACUUGUAAUAAAAGUUGCCUUUCAUAUACUGGAGCCAGUUUUAUACCAUACUCCCCAGCAGUAUGCCUCUGUCCUAACUCCAUUUGAUGAUAAGACAGACAUAGAAUAUUUAUUUAUAGCGAGAUCUUGAACAGGUUCCUUUGAAUUACAUGUUUCCUUGCAGCAGUGAUUUCUGAGAUUUUUAUGCCAUGGUGAAGGAUUUAAGUUAUACUUAAAGUUAUACUCUUCUCUGCCUAGAAAUACUAAUUAAAUUUCCUGGUGAGGAGUUACUGCAAUAUUUAUGUUUCAGGGCAGUAGACAUUAAUAGUUUUGCUGAGGAGGAAACAUAUCUGAACUACCACAGUAGAAGAGAAUCCAGGCAUACUCACUUUGGAUAGGACUCAGAGAAAUUAAGCUCUGUUGCUAUCAGAUUAAUGUAGCAAAUUAACUAGCCAUGUUCAAGGCAGCCACGAUUUCUAUAUGACAGUAAACAUAAUUUGUAAACCAAUCAAUAAGGCAAGUUCAAAUCAUUCAUUUUCUCUAUCCAGUAUAGGCAUUAGUAUUCAUUUAUGCCCAUACUAAUUUAUGUCAUUCCCAUGAUGUAUCAAGUAUAGAUAUUAGCAUCAUUCCAUACACAUAAAAAAGAAACAGAUACCGAAAUGAAAUAUUUUCCAUUUCUAUACAGUGAAGAGAAUUGAAUUUUGUCCCUCUUUUAAACACAGUUGUUUGAAGUCCAUCCUCUUAGUUCUAGGCCAUAGGAAGUCAACAUAUGAUAAUCUUCUUAGGUGUUCCAUUGCCCUGUAGUUGGGAAGGCACCAAAUGCCAGCCUCAGUGAAGCUGAGAUAAUUUCGUGUGUGAAUUAUUGGUCUCAUUCUGUUGCCUGUUAGACUUUACCAAAUAUAGACUUUCAGUGAGACUCAAGACCAGCCCACUUAAGUUCCUAUGGUCAAGAAAAGUGGGUACUAAAGGUUGGAAGAUGGCAUCAAAUUUGGCUGAUACCUUCCAGUAUGGCUAGUAUUGAUGGGAUAUUUGAUGGGAUAUUUGUCAAACAUGAAUGAGUUCUCACUUCUCUGCAAUAGAUAGAAGUUCUCAGUAAUGGUGGUCCAAUCCUAAAGAAACUGGUUGGUUGCUUAUUUCCCAGUUAACAGAAAUUACAAUUGCUUUUGGCCUAUCCUAGGGAGCAGUAUACAUCUAUCUAGUUAUAUGAACUUUUUUCAUGAGAACUUAAAUUAAUAAAACGCUCCUUUUAGAGGGAAAAACUCCUGUGAAAAUCAGAUUCCUUAGUCCUCUAUGGUCAAGCACCUACAUGCCAGGACUUCAGGCCGAUAAUCCUCUGAUGAAAGAAUUUUCCUUCACUUGGUGUGUUGCUGGGAAAUGGAAGCUAGUAGAAGAUUUUUCUUUGCCCCACAAAUUUGGAAAAUAUCAUGAUAUAUAGGCUAUUUAUACUUAUUUCUGGUAUCUCUUCCUAGAUGUUUUAAAUUAGCUUGUUCUUUUUUUUUAAUACAUGCAAAACUGUUGCUCAAAGGAAAUGCAACAACAAAAUGCAGAGAGCGUUAAUUAAAUGCCAGCAUAAAGCCUUAAUUGCAUCUGAUGUUCAAGUAAUAUCGUUUUUACUGAGGUGUGCUGAAUGAUUCAGGUAGUUGGCAGGUGGGCUACCACAGUCACUAGAUGGUGAGGGGAUUUUAUGGGCUCUCAUUUGCAUCUAGAUACUAGCAUGCUCACCGUGGCAACCUUUCUUCUCCAAAGCUUUCAUUUUUCAGAAAAACUAAACCAUGCAGAAUUAUGGCCUCUCUUUUCGAUGCCAGAAGCCUCCCUAGAAUGGGACUAGACUGUGGAGAAUGGGACUAGACUAUGGGUACAAAGUGGAGCUCACUUUUUCUCAUUCUGUUCCGAUUUCCAGACAACAAAAUGAUUCAGGUUCUUUGGAAAAAGCAAUGAUGUGCAAAUGUGCCUCUUUUCACACAUGCAUGCUAACAUUAAAGACAUGACCUGACCGAAUGGCAUUCUUAGAUUUCUUCCUUUUGCUACUAGAGGGUGGUGAUUUUCAUGUUAAUUGUAUGUCAGUUGUAACGGGGAGGCCUGGCUUUACAUGCAGAUGUGCCCUAUUCCUUUCCAUUAUGAGAGACAAGUAAUGUGAUUGCAAUAAUUCCUGCUAUCAGAUUAUAAAAACAGCAUCUUUAGAAUUUGUAAAUGUGCUGUUUUUAUUUUAUCCCUUUGUUUAUACACAGAUUAAAGCACAAUCCCCCAUGGCCACAGCCUGUAAUUGAGUAGCAUGUUCCAAGGCUGCCACAAAGCAAUGGAGCAGUGCUUGAGUGACUUCAAAAUAGAGUCAACACCUGAGGAAUAAAUUUUCUCCUUUGUCUUUGCCAUGGAUGUCAAUGUUUUGAAAAUGUUGAAAAGAAACAGUAAAAAUGAUGUUAUUUAAUGAGUAAAGAAAUGUAGCUAGUCACUAUACUGCCUGCUACAGGAAAGAAAGUUUUUUCAAUAUUACUUGAAGGAUUUAGGGGGUUGGGGUAGAUAUUUUCCAUUUAAUUAAUUUCAUCAUAAUUUGCUUAGCUUUCUGUAGCAGAUCAUCAGAUUGAAAUUGCAGUAUGUUUCUUUGUCUUUUUUAUCCCCCUGUAGUCUCAGCAUAAUUCAGAACUAGGGAGAAGCGAUUCUUCUGCACUUUACAUGCAAGUCACAGUUUCCUUAUUGGGUUCCAAAAGAUCCUAGGUCUCCAAGCUCCAGUACACAGCUGCCACUGCAUAUGUUGCUGCUGAAAACUAAAACUUGCUGAAAUAAUCAUUCCCUAUGUUUUUAAGAGCCUGUGUUUAAAGUACUACUUGACACAUCUCAUUUCUUUAGGGAACUUGAGUUUAUACUGCAAAACAGCAGAGCCUAUAAAAGCCUAAGAUUUCUCUAUUUUUCCUGUUUAAUAUUGGAUAUUAUAAACAAUCUUUAGGAUCACUAAUAAGAUUCUUUUGAGCUUGAGGUCUGUAUUAGUUUAGUUUCUAGCGUGCAAGACACAAAUAUAAAUUAAGACCAUGUAGUGAAUAUAAAAUUUGAAUACUUUUUUGUACACAUGAUUUAAAAAUUUGAAUUUUGGAUUUUCCGUUGUGGCGUGGUGGUUAACGAACCCAGCUGGGAACCAUGAGGUUGCAGGUUUGAUCCCUGGCCUCGCUCAGUGGGUUAAGGAUCCGGCAUUGCUGUGAGCUGUGGUGUAGGUCGCUGACACGGCUCGGAUCCCUCGUUGAUUUGCUCUGGCGUAGGUUGGCGUUUACAGCUCCGAUUAGACUCCUAGUCUGGGAACCUCCAUAUGCC
This 5838-nucleotide long non-coding RNA is filed under the name Sus scrofa (pig). RNAcentral describes it as "lncRNA (ENSSSCG00000057328.1)". Lineage: Eukaryota; Metazoa; Chordata; Mammalia; Artiodactyla; Suidae. The record is from RNAcentral.